Molecule: ribosomal RNA, 404 nt
Filed under: Actinomycetes bacterium
Lineage: Bacteria; Bacillati; Actinomycetota; Actinomycetes
Description: Actinobacteria bacterium partial 16S ribosomal RNA
Rfam family: Bacterial small subunit ribosomal RNA
Source: RNAcentral
UGGGGAAUAUUGGACAAUGGGCGCAAGCCUGAUCCAGCCAUGCCGCGUGAGUGAUGAAGGCCCUAGGGUUGUAAAGCUCUUUCACCGGUGAAGAUAAUGACGGUAACCGGAGAAGAAGCCCCGGCUAACUUCGUGCCAGCAGCCGCGGUAAUACGAAGGGGGCUAGCGUUGUUCGGAUUUACUGGGCGUAAAGCGCACGUAGGCGGACUUUUAAGUCAGGGGUGAAAUCCCGGGGCUCAACCCCGGAACUGCCUUUGAUACUGGAAGUCUUGAGUAUGGUAGAGGUGAGUGGAAUUCCGAGUGUAGAGGUGAAAUUCGUAGAUAUUCGGAGGAACACCAGUGGCGAGGGCGGCUCACUGGACCAAUACUGACGCUGAGGUGCGAAAGCGUGGGGAGCAAACAGG